Molecule: long non-coding RNA, 1009 nt
Filed under: Equus caballus (horse)
Lineage: Eukaryota; Metazoa; Chordata; Mammalia; Perissodactyla; Equidae
Description: lncRNA (ENSECAG00000049572.1)
Source: RNAcentral
AAGUUUUUUUAUUGGAUUCUUUAGGUUUUUCUACAUAUAAAAUCACGUUGUCUGUAAAGAGUGACAGUUUCACUACUUCCUUUCCAAUUUGGAUCCCUUUUAUUUCUUUUUCUUGCCUGAUUGCUCUGGAUAGGACUUCCAGCACUGUGUUAAAUAAGAGUGAUGACAGUGAGCAUCCUUGUCUGGUUCCUGUUCUUAGAGGGAUAGCUUUCAGUUUUUCUCCAUUGAGAAUGAUAUUUGCUAUGGGUUUGUCAUAUAUGGCCUUUAUUAUGUUGAGGUGUUUUCCUUCUAUACCCAUUUUAUUUAGAUUUUUUUUAUCAUAAAUGGAUGCUGUAUCUUGUCAAAUGCUUUCUCUACAUCUAUUGAGAUGAUCAUGUGAUUUUUAUUCUUCAUUUUGUUAAUAUGGUGUAUCACAUAGAUAGAUUUGCAGAUGUUGAACCAUCCCUGCAUUCCUGGAAUGAAACCUACUUGAUCAUGAUGUAUGAUCUUUUUAAUCUAUUGUUGUAUUCGAUUUGCUAGUAUUUUGUUGAGGAUUUUUGCAUCGAUGGUCAUCAGUGAUAUUGGCCAGUAAUUUUCAUUUUUUGUGUUGUCCUUGUCUGGUUUUGGUAUCAGAAUAAUGUUGGCUUCGUAGAAUGAGUUAGGAAGCCUCCCCUCCUCUUCAAUUUUUUGGAAGUGUUUGAGAAAGAUAGGUAUUAAGUCUUCUUUGAAUGUUUGGUAGAAUUCACCAUGGAAGCCAACUGGUCUUGAACUUUUAUGUUUUGGGAGGUUUUUGAUUGCUGUUUCGAUCUCCUUACUGGUGAUUGGUGUAUUCAAAUUCUCUGCUACCUCUUCGUCCAGUUUUGGAAGGUUGUUGAUUCUAAGAAUUUAUCCAUUUCUUCUAGAUUAUCCAAUUUGUUGGCAUAUAGCUUUUCAUAGCAUUCUUUUAUUAUCUUUUGUAUUUCUGAGCAGCUGAGAGCUACUCCUGGCCAACAGCCAGCAGGAAAGCAGGGACCUCAGUCCUACAUCCACA